This 1408-nucleotide ribosomal RNA is filed under the name 'Daucus carota' phytoplasma. RNAcentral's name for it is "bacterial SSU rRNA". It matches the Rfam family "Bacterial small subunit ribosomal RNA", at positions 198 to 1533 of the family's 1533-position model. Lineage: Bacteria; Bacillati; Mycoplasmatota; Mollicutes; Acholeplasmatales; Acholeplasmataceae. The record is from RNAcentral.
AAGACCUAUUAAUAGGUAUGCUUAGGGAGGAGCUUGCGUCACAUUAGUUAGUUGGUGGGGUAAAGGCCUACCAAGACUAUGAUGUGUAGCCGGGCUGAGAGGUUGAACGGCCACAUUGGGACUGAGACACGGCCCAAACUCCUACGGGAGGCAGCAGUAGGGAAUUUUCGGCAAUGGAGGAAACUCUGACCGAGCAACGCCGCGUGAACGAUGAAGUAUUUCGGUACGUAAAGUUCUUUUAUUAGGGAAGAAUAAAUGAUGGAAAAAUCAUUCUGACGGUACCUAAUGAAUAAGCCCCGGCUAACUAUGUGCCAGCAGCCGCGGUAAUACAUAGGGGGCAAGCGUUAUCCGGAAUUAUUGGGCGUAAAGGGUGCGUAGGCUGUUAAAUAAGUUUAUGGUCUAAGUGCAAUGCUCAACAUUGUGAUGCUAUAAAAACUGUUUAGCUAGAGUAAGAUAGAGGCAAGUGGAAUUCCAUGUGUAGUGGUAAAAUGCGUAAAUAUAUGGAGGAACACCAGUAGCGAAGGCGGCUUGCUGGGUCUUUACUGACGCUGAGGCACGAAAGCGUGGGGAGCAAACAGGAUUAGAUACCCUGGUAGUCCACGCCGUAAACGAUGAGUACUAAACGUUGGGUAAAACCAGUGUUGAAGUUAACACAUUAAGUACUCCGCCUGAGUAGUACGUACGCAAGUAUGAAACUUAAAGGAAUUGACGGGACUCCGCACAAGCGGUGGAUCAUGUUGUUUAAUUCGAAGGUACCCGAAAAACCUCACCAGGUCUUGACAUGCUUCUGCAAAGCUGUAGAAACACAGUGGAGGUUAUCAGUUGCACAGGUGGUGCAUGGUUGUCGUCAGCUCGUGUCGUGAGAUGUUGGGUUAAGUCCCGCAACGAGCGCAACCCUUAUUGUUAGUUGCCAGCACGUAAUGGUGGGGACUUUAGCAAGACUGCCAGUGAUAAAUUGGAGGAAGGUGGGGACGACGUCAAAUCAUCAUGCCCCUUAUGACCUGGGCUACAAACGUGAUACAAUGGCUGUUACAAAGGGUAGCUGAAACGCAAGUUUUUGGCGAAUCUCAAAAAAACAGUCUCAGUUCGGAUUGAAGUCUGCAACUCGACUUCAUGAAGUUGGAAUCGCUAGUAAUCGCGAAUCAGCAUGUCGCGGUGAAUACGUUCUCGGGGUUUGUACACACCGCCCGUCAAACCACGAAAGUUGGCAAUACCCAAAACCGGUGGCCUAACUUCGCAAGAAGAGGGAACCGUCUAAGGUAGGGUCGAUGAUUGGGGUUAAGUCGUAACAAGGUAUCCCUACCGGAAGGUGGGGAUGGAUCACCUCCUUUCUAAGGAAACAAUUAUCAUCUUCAGUUUUGAGAGACUUAAGAAAGUUUUUCAUUUUAAAUUGUUUGCAAAUUGUAUU